AGUGAACGCUGGCGGUAGGCCUAACACAUGCAAGUCGAACGGCAGCACAGUAAGAGCUUGCUCUUACGGGUGGCGAGUGGCGGACGGGUGAGGAAUACAUCGGAAUCUACUUUUUCGUGGGGGAUAACGUAGGGAAACUUACGCUAAUACCGCAUACGACCUACGGGUGAAAGCAGGGGAUCUUCGGACCUUGCGCGAUUGAAUGAGCCGAUGUCGGAUUAGCUAGUUGGCGGGGUAAAGGCCCACCAAGGCGACGAUCCGUAGCUGGUCUGAGAGGAGGAUCAGCCACACUGGAACUGAGCCGCGGUCCAGACUCCUACGGGAGGCACCAGUGGGGAAUAUUGGACAAUGGGCGCAAGCCUGAUCCAGCCAUCCCGCGUGGGUGAAGAAGGCCUUCGGGUUGUAAAGCCCUUUUGUUGGGAAAGAAAAGCAGCAGGUUAAUACCCCGCUGUUCUGACGGUACCCAAAGAAUAAGCACCGGCUAACUUCGUG
Molecule: ribosomal RNA, 492 nt
Filed under: uncultured bacterium
Lineage: Bacteria
Description: partial 16S ribosomal RNA
Rfam family: Bacterial small subunit ribosomal RNA
Source: RNAcentral